Molecule: ribosomal RNA, 356 nt
Filed under: uncultured bacterium
Lineage: Bacteria
Description: bacterial SSU rRNA
Rfam family: Bacterial small subunit ribosomal RNA
Source: RNAcentral
AACGAACGCUGGCGGCAGGCCUAACACAUGCAAGUCGAGCGCCCAGCAAUGGGAGCGGCAGACGGGUGAGUAACGCGUGGGAACCUUCCCAAUGGUACGGAAUAGCUCAGGGAAACUUGAGGUAAUACCGCAUAAGCCCGAAAGGGAAAGAUUAUCGCCAUUGGAUGGGCCCGCGUAGGAUUAGCUAGUUGGUGAGGUAAUGGCUCACCAAGGCGACGAUCGGUAGCUGGUCUGAGAGGACGAUCAGCCACACUGGGACUGAGACACGGCCCAGACUCCUACGGGAGGCAGCAGUGGGGAAUCUUGCGCAAUGGGCGAAAGCCUGACGCAGCGACGCCGCGUGAGGGAUGACGGCC